RNAcentral lists this ribosomal RNA (492 nucleotides) under uncultured bacterium. Its description in RNAcentral is "partial 16S ribosomal RNA". It matches the Rfam family "Bacterial small subunit ribosomal RNA", at positions 29 to 507 of the family's 1533-position model. The record is from RNAcentral.
AGUGAACGCUGGCGGUAGGCCUAACACAUGCAAGUCGAACGGCAGCACAGUAAGAGCUUGCUCUUACGGGUGGCGAGUGGCGGACGGGUGAGGAAUACUUCGGAAUCUACUUUUUCGUGGGGGAUAACGUAGGGAAACUUACGCUAAUACCGCAUACGACCUACGGGUGAAAGCAGGGGAUCUUCGGACCUUGCGCGAUUGAAUGAGCCGAUGUCGGAUUAGCUAGUUGGCGGGGUAAAGGCCCACCAAGGCGACGAUCCGUAGCUGGUCUGAGAGGAUGAUCAGCCACACUGGAACUGAGACACGGUCCAGACUCCUACGGGAGGCAGCAGUGGGGAAUAUUGGACAAUGGGCGCAAGCCUGAUCCAGCCAUACCGCGUGGGUGAAGAAGGCCUUCGGGUUGUAAAGCCCUUUUGUUGGGAAAGAAAAGCAGCAGGAUAAUACCCCGCUGUUCUGACGGUACCCAAAGAAUAAGCACCGGCUAACUUCGUG